AUGGGGGUGUCCUGUGGGAAAAGGGGUGUCCGUGUGGGAAAUGGGGUGUCCGAAUGGGAAAAGGGGUGUCCGUGUGGGAAAAGGGAUGUCCGUGUGGGAAAAGGGGGUGUCCCGGUGGGAAAAGGGGUGUCCUGUGGGAAAGGGGGUGUCCUGUGGGAAAAAGGGGUGUCCGUGUGGGAAAAGGGGUGUUCCGGUGGGAAAAGGGGUGUCCGUGUGGGAAAAGGGGUGUCCCGGUGGGAAAAGGGGUUUUCGUGUGGGAAAAGGGGUGUCCGAAUGGGAAAAGGGGUGUCCGUGUGGGAAAGGGGGUGUCCCGGUGGCACAGGUCCUGCUGAGGGAUGCUGUCCUGCCCAGGGAUGGGGAUCCGGCCGGGGAGGGGUGUCAGGAGUGUCCAGGCCGGGAGGUUCCCCUGCCCUGCCCUGGGCUGGUGCCGUGCCGUGCCGUGCCGUGCCGUGCCGUGCCGUGCCGUGCCGUGCCGUGCCGUGCCGUGGUUCUGCCGCCCAGGCGAGCGGCGGCCUCGGCACUGAUCCCACCGGAGCCGCGCACGGAGCGCUGCGGUCAGACCGGGCCCGGCCAUGGACAGCGGGACCGCGGAUGUCGCCUCUGGGUAACCCUUGGACUGGCCUGCACUCGGUCCUGCCCUUAGGAAAGCCCGACCUUCUGUGGAAGACUGCGAAAAUUCCUACAGACAAAAAUCAGGCUUCUAAACAGAAAGGUUCUCCAGGCAGAGGACUUUGCCUACAAGAACUGAGCACCCUGGUAGCCUCUCCCUGGCUCACGGAGCGAGGCUGUGACAGAGGAUGGCAGGAGCUAUUCUGA
This 816-nucleotide long non-coding RNA is filed under the name Taeniopygia guttata (zebra finch). Its description in RNAcentral is "lncRNA (ENSTGUG00000020825.1)". Lineage: Eukaryota; Metazoa; Chordata; Aves; Passeriformes; Estrildidae. The record is from RNAcentral.